RNAcentral lists this long non-coding RNA (1858 nucleotides) under Homo sapiens (human). Its description in RNAcentral is "PREDICTED lncRNA (TCONS_00261008)". The record is from RNAcentral. Lineage: Eukaryota; Metazoa; Chordata; Mammalia; Primates; Hominidae.
UGAUGGUAAAUACCGAGUGUCGACUGGAUUGAAGGAUGCAAAGUAUUGAUCCUGGGUGUGUCUGUGAGGGUGUUGCCAAAGGAGGUUAACAUUUGAGUCAGUGGGCUGGGGAAGGCAGAUCCAACCUCAAUCUGGUGCGCCAUCUAAUAAGCUGCCAAUGAAUAUAAAGCAGGCAGAAAAACAUAAGAAGGUGAGACUGGCCUAGCCUCCCAGCCUGCAUCUUUCUCCCAUGCUGAAUGCUUCCUGUCCUCGAACAUCAGACUCCAAGUUCUUUAGUUUUGAGACUCGGACUGGCUUCCUUGCUCCUCAAGCUUGCAGACAGCCUAUUGUGGGACCUUGUGAUCAUGGUCUUAACUCUGUCACCCAGGCUGGAGUGCAGUGGUGUGACCACAGCCACUGCAGGCUCAACCUCUGGGACUCAGGUGAUCCUCCCAUCUCAGCCUCCCAAGUAGCUGGGACUACAGGUUGCUUCUUCCAGAUCCCUUUUGAUCUACUUUCAGCUAUGGAUUCAUGAGAAUCAAGACUAAGCAGCCUGAAUUGAAGGAGUAACAGUAUCACCUAACAAUGAUUUUGCUGCCAUAGUAGCUGUUUGUAUACUGGCCAUAUGCCUAGGUAAAAUGAGGCCAGAUCACUCUCAAGAGUUUUCUAUCAGAGUUGGUGGUGAACUACUGCUCACGGAUAAUGACGAGAAACCCCAGCUGAGGAGGCAAAUAUACUCAAGGAAAGUAAUAGUUUCCAAAUGCCUGGCAGUGCCAGGAAGGGGCCAUGUCCAUGGACCACUAUGUAAGGAUAUCUCAGUCUCUAGUCCAGCGUGGUUUAUGGUGCCAAAUAAGUGCCAGGUGAACUCACUACAUCUGACAAAAUCUCAAGGAACCAAGUUUACCAGAUAAUAUUUAUGAUUAUGUGAAAAAGACUGAGGAAAUCACUCAAGUGAUCCAUCAUACAGCACCUCCAGUUCCAAAGAAUACUGACUUACUUCAGCUGUACUGGUCUGGAGCUGCACAUUCUUUUCAGACAACUCUUGUUCCAGUAAGUUCAGGUGACUCUUCUCCUGUAACAGAGCCUCCUUCUUAGAAACUAUGGCCUCCCGUUUCUUUAAGUCUGCUUCCAGCUCCUCUAAUUCUUGGCGUUGGUUCAGAACUUUCUCUACUUCUUCAUCUAACCAUUUCUUUUGCUCAUCCAAUUUCUACAUUAAAAUUAAAAAAAAAGUUACUUGUUUUUCCUUCUGCCAUAAAAAUUAUAUGGUAAUAAUAGAAUUUCAGAUUGGCUGAAAUCUCUUAAAUGAACAUUUAAAAACUAUCACUCAGAGUAACUCAGGUAGCCGUCUGAGAUCCUAAAGACAUCAGUGGUUCUAGUCAAGAUGUAGCUAUGUUGUUUUAUAAAGAAUUAAAAUUUACUCCCCAGAUAUGUUAAACAGUCUAGGAUUUUUUAGCCUGACGAAGAAAGGGCUGAUAAUUUUCUAUGCCUAUAUUAAGAACAUGCUGGAAUCUUUUACUCUGUUGUAGUGGUGCACAGUUCCAUCACAGCACUUACACUGGUGGCUGCCCUACGUAUCUAUCUCCCCAGCUUGAGCUCCUUGAUUGAUUGCAGGGGCUGUAGUUUUUACCCGUCUAUCCACAUGGCUGGUAUAUUGCCUGGGCCACAGUAGGCAUUCAAUAAAAUGUUAAAUGAAUGAGUGAAUGAAUGCCUGAUUCAGUCAGUCAAUGAAGUGAAUAAAUGAAUACACACAGUGGAAGACACAGAUGAUGGAGGAUGGAAGGAAAGCCAAUUUGCAUUGUAGCUUGUCAACCUCAAAUAAUUAUUUUUAAAAAAGAAAAAAAACAAAAAUAAAAAAUUGCUGAAAAGAUCUCCAAAACAA